Molecule: unclassified non-coding RNA, 783 nt
Filed under: Hevea brasiliensis (rubber tree)
Lineage: Eukaryota; Viridiplantae; Streptophyta; Magnoliopsida; Malpighiales; Euphorbiaceae
Source: RNAcentral
UCUUCUUCGAGGAACGUUUUGAUGGUAUCUCUAUUACUCUCCCUCUACAUCUCUCUACAUUUAUGCCUUAUUUCAACACUUUAAAUGAUCUCAGUUUGGUAUUGUAGAUUGCAGCUUGUAUUACUGGAAUUUGGAUGCAUGGUUAUGGUUGAAUUUGAUUAGAUAUGUGAAAGAUGGGUGUUUUUUGUGUGGUUAAUGUGUGGAUCAGUGGAUCCGGUAGCUCUGUUAAGCUGCUUUGUGUAAUAGCGUAGUUGUGGCUAGAAAUGUGAUCAUUUUCGCUAGAUCUGCUGUUACAUGUUUUGUUGAUGAAUUGUUUAGUUUUGCAUUUGAAAAUGGUAAUUGGUUAAAUUUUGUUGGGUUUCAUUUUUCUUUUCUGUUUGUUUAAUGGGAAAUUAUGUUUAAUGGGAAAUUAUGGGAAAUUACAUGGACGAAUACUGGAUUGACUAAGCAUUUAUUUAGAUCCAAAUGUAUGAAGUUGGAUAGUAUCUGGUUUUAUAUUUACACGUGGAUUUUCAGCAUAUGGAAUUGCAAAAAUGUAUGAUGGUCAAAAUCUUGACUUUUUUCUUUUUGAUCACUUGGCUUGAUUAAGGUUUGGCCUUAGUCUCCUGGAAGAAAAAGCGGCAUUGAUAGUAAUUAUUUAAAAUUUUAUGCUGUUUUCUGUUCAAUUUUUAUGGUUUUUACUCGGUGUGGGCAUGUUGCUGUUAGUUCACAUUUUACUUGUUAUGCCCACCAUAACAUUUGCUCAUUUCCAAUUCUUUCUUUCUUUUUUUAUUUUUUAUUUUU